GCAUUGGUGGUUCAGUGGUAGAACUCUCGCCUGCCACGCGGUAGACCUUGAGUCGCCUCCUGGCUAAUACA
Non-coding RNA from Danio rerio (zebrafish), 71 nucleotides. The record is from Rfam. NCBI's taxonomy places the organism in Eukaryota, Metazoa, Chordata, Actinopteri, Cypriniformes, Danionidae.